GACGAACGCUGGCGGCGUGCUUAACACAUGCAAGUCGAACGGAAAGGCCCUGCUUUUGUGGGGUGCUCGAGUGGCGAACGGGUGAGUAACACGUGAGUAACCUGCCCUUGACUUUGGGAUAACUUCAGGAAACUGGGGCUAAUACCGGAUAGGAGCUCCUGCUGCAUGGUGGGGGUUGGAAAGUUUCGGCGGUUGGGGAUGGACUCGCGGCUUAUCAGCUUGUUGGUGGGGUAGUGGCUUACCAAGGCUUUGACGGGUAGCCGGCCUGAGAGGGUGACCGGACACAUUGGGACUGAGAGACGGCCCAGACUCCAACGGGAGGCAGCAGUGGGGAAUAUUGCACAAUGGGAGGAAGCCUGAUGCAGAAACGCCGCGUGCGGGAUGACGGCCUUCGGGUUGUAAACAGAUUUCGCCUGUGACGAAGAGUGAGUGACGGUAAUGGGUAAAGAAGCACCGGCUAACUACGUG
This 468-nucleotide ribosomal RNA is filed under the name uncultured bacterium. RNAcentral describes it as "partial 16S ribosomal RNA". It matches the Rfam family "Bacterial small subunit ribosomal RNA", at positions 28 to 507 of the family's 1533-position model. The record is from RNAcentral.